Oreochromis niloticus (Nile tilapia) is the source of this 2159-nucleotide long non-coding RNA. RefSeq lists it as uncharacterized. The record is from RefSeq and is a predicted model, not a curated record. Lineage: Eukaryota; Metazoa; Chordata; Actinopteri; Cichliformes; Cichlidae. The transcript is spliced from 3 exons.
AAACUGGAUUAAAAUGAAGUCAGUGCACAUGAAAGUCCCAGUGAGGGAAUUAAAAAGCUUAGCAAAGAAUGGCAAGUUAAAGAUGUGUUUAUUGAAUUCAUUAUAAACACUUUAUCAACCUUUUAACAACAUAAACCGUUGUUCCACGAUUUCUGGCACACCUUUAAAAGAAACAUGCUUUAUGUUAAGUAACAGCGUUUGAUUUUCACACUGCACAUUAUAGCAAACAUGUCCACGUUGGUCCUGUCCAUACAGAACCACAGAUUUGUGACUUUGUAAAGCUAAACUGUGCUGCUCUGUUAUUUUUGGCAAACUCCAGGAAGACAGUCGCACUAUGUUAACAUAGAUGUAAACACUCCAGACAAGAAAACUACCAAAACCUGUGCUGGUGUGGAGCAGCAGGGCCGUACAUACACUGCCCGUGAACGCCGUGUUUCCAUGACUGGAGGUGUCUUAUGUGAUGAAGAGUGUCUGUGGCUGACUGAGCAGAGCACCCAACAACAACCCUGCACUCCACCAUCCUACACGACCUCUCCUGACUCUACAUCACACUAAUCAGGGUAAAGUCCAAACAGACAAUCUACGCAGGUGGAAACCAAACUACACCACCAUCAGAGGUGGGCUUCAGGUGUGCACCAGUACUUCCUGUAACCUCACGAGGUAAGACAUGCUGCACUACAUCUGCUUACUAGCUAUCAUGUACUGGAUAUAAAGUCCCAGUAUGGAGAGUAUGGCUAUAACAAUGACUUAUUAUUCAGACUUAUGGAUAUAUUCAUGUCAAAAAAUGUUAACAAGUAAUAAUAAAUGAAUGCAACAGAUACCACAGGCUUUCACAGGCUUCAGGCCCUAAUAAAAGUCCACCAGCAGGCCACGAGUCUCAGAGCGAGUCCUGACUCAGGCCUUGGAGCUUUGUUGUGGGGAGGGACUGUAAAGAAAGACAAAUGUUUUAUGGUAAGGCCAACUGAGAGAGGAGUGAAAGAGCUUUCAACAGACACCCAAAUAAAUCAAGCUUCAAUAAACCACUUCCUCAAACUUCCUUUCACUGAUUGAACCGAGGAAGAGUUCGGCAUUUACAGCCCAGUUCCUGUUCCUUGGAGGUGGCCGCCUUGUUUAUCGGCACCUCCUCCUAACCCCAUGCUUUCUUGUAAACAACAGCAGCCAGCCUGGAGCUUUCUUUGUGUUUCACCUUCAUGAGUGGGAAGGAUUUUUGAGGAAUCAAGGAACAAAAAAACUAAAAAAUAAUAAAACAAAUACCGGAACAAUCCUGAAGCCCUUCGAUUUCUCAGAGCUUAUUUAAUUUUCCUCCACGUUGCAAACUACACAUUUCACGCUGUUUUCAGGGAGAUGAACCAUUUUUUAUCUUCAAACUUUCCAUAAAAGUGACAAUUCUCUGAAAUAUCACAAACACCUUUGGAGAGAUUCCCUCCAUCUGUAGAUUAAACGGCACUACAGAAUCCAAAUGAGGUGCUUAAGCAGCACGAGCCUCUGCUGCCAAAACAGCACCGCCUUCGCUGCUUCCUAACAACGUCUUUACCUCCAUUUGUUCAGACAGCUUUGCCAUUUGGCUGUCACCAUGGAAACACGCUGGCCUGCUAACGACACAGUAGCAAUGAUGAAGCGCAACGGCGGCUUUACUCGCCGACUCGGGGAGCUUCUCCGAGCUACACACCCAAUCGUUUGGAGAGUGAGAAGAAGUUAGACAUGCGCCGUCUUCUGGCGUUCUCGCUCUGACUCCCUUCGAUGUUUGGAUUGAUAACAAAAAACUGAUGUGCUGACAUAUGAAGAAGACUAUAUUGAGAGCACUUAGGAUCUGAGAUCUUAUCAGUGGACCUAGUUUGGUUUGGUGUUGCUACACAAGCCAAUAAAGACCAGCUGACAACUGUAAACAGCAGCAGAGCUACAUGACUGAUGUUCAGCACCUUCUACAUUUUUUGGUAUCCCGACAGACCCCAGAUAUGUCCAGGUGGACAUACAAAGCUUAUAUUUCAUUUGAUAGGCCAAGUGAAAUGGAGACAUGUUGAAAGGAUGUCCACGUCCAUUUAGUCCCCACCCCCACCCCCAAACUCUCUGGUUUCCAAGGCUACCGUUUACAACCAUCUGUAGUAAAUACCGCUGCAAAGGUUAUCGUGUAAAUCAUCACACGACCUGCUGCCAUUAAA